UACGGGAGGCAGCAGUGAGGAAUAUUGCACAAUGGGGGAAACCCUGAUGCAGCAACGCCGCGUGGAGGAUGACGCAUUUCGGUGUGUAAACUCCUUUUAUAUGUCAAGAAAAUGACGGUAGCAUAUGAAUAAGCACCGGCUAACUCCGUGCCAGCAGCCGCGGUAA
Molecule: ribosomal RNA, 166 nt
Filed under: uncultured bacterium
Lineage: Bacteria
Description: partial 16S ribosomal RNA
Rfam family: Bacterial small subunit ribosomal RNA
Source: RNAcentral